GCCGGCGAGUGGCGAACGGGUGAGUAAUACAUCGGAACGUGUCCUUAAGUGGGGAAUAACGCAUCGAAAGAUGUGCUAAUACCGCAUAUCUCUCAGGAGGAAAGCAGGGGAUCGAAAGACCUUGCGCUAAAGGAGCGGCUGAUGUCUUAUUAGCUAGUUGGUGGGGUAAAGGCUUACCAAGGCAACGAUCAGUAGCUGGUCUGAGAGGACGACCAGCCACACUGGGACUGAGACACGGCCCAGACUCCUACGGGAGGCAGCAGUGGGGAAUUUUGGACAAUGGGCGAAAGCCUGAUCCAGCCAUGCCGCGUGAGUGAAGAAGGCCUUCGGGUUGUAAAGCUCUUUUAGUCGGAAAGAAAGAGUCAUAGUAAAUAGCUAUGAUCUAUGACGGUACCGACAGAAAAAGCACCGGCUAACUACGUGCCAGCAGCCGCGGUAAUACGUAGGGUGCGAGCGUUAAUCGGAAUUACUGGGCGUAAAGGGUGCGCAGGCGGCCUUGUAAGUCAGAUGUGAAAGCCCCGGGCUUAACCUG
RNAcentral lists this ribosomal RNA (532 nucleotides) under uncultured bacterium. RNAcentral describes it as "bacterial SSU rRNA". It matches the Rfam family "Bacterial small subunit ribosomal RNA", at positions 87 to 616 of the family's 1533-position model. The record is from RNAcentral.